CUUUUAAUUUGAGGCUUGAAUGAAUGGUCGGACAUGAAGAAAGCUGUCUUAUCUGAUAAAGUUGAACUUAACUUGUGUGUGAAAAGGCACAAAUGUUCUAAAGGGACGAUAAGACCCUAUAAAACUUUAUGAGUUAUGAGGUGUUUCUUGAUUUGUGAUGUAAACGGGGGUUAGUCGGACUCAUUGUGCUGGGGCGGCUAGAAUAUAAAUGUAACUGUUCUUGUUUACAAAAUAAUUAUAAUUAGAUUUUGACCCUGAUAUUUGGUUUAAAAAAGUAAGUUACUUUAGGGAUAACAGCGUA
This 301-nucleotide ribosomal RNA is filed under the name Alpheus dentipes. RNAcentral describes it as "partial 16S ribosomal RNA". Lineage: Eukaryota; Metazoa; Arthropoda; Malacostraca; Decapoda; Alpheidae. The record is from RNAcentral.